This 75-nucleotide antisense RNA is filed under the name Streptomyces sp. MP131-18. RNAcentral describes it as "ASpks TB sRNA". It matches the Rfam family "ASpks TB sRNA". The record is from Rfam by way of RNAcentral. Lineage: Bacteria; Bacillati; Actinomycetota; Actinomycetes; Kitasatosporales; Streptomycetaceae.
CUUCACCGAACCCAGCCACAACGGACGGUCCCCGGUACGUUCCCGCCCGUAGGUUUCCAGCAGGGCCUGCGCCUC